CCUCUCUACCCGAUUCCCCUGGUCGCCUCCCCCCCCCACGCCCAUCGCCGCCAGCCCGAAACCCUAGCUCCCUCCCUCGCGCGCUCAGAUCCGACCACCCUCCCUCACUCUUCGCACUCAGAUCCGCCCUCCCUCCCUCACUCUUCGCGCUGGAAACCCUAGCUGCCGGGCCAUGGUGACAGACGGCGACGACGACGGCGGUGGCUACCUUGACGACGACGGUGCGGCCAGCAGCAGAAGCACCACCAUGCCCUCCCUUCCUCCAACCCUAGCGAUCCGGCCAUGUUGGCGGCAGCCAGAUCCGCGCCGGGACAGGACCUGCUUGUGCUCAUGAGGAGAGGCACGCGAUGGAGCAGCUCGUCAAGGACAUGUCCAACCCUUCCCUUCCCUUCGUUCUAUGCAGUUAAUCCAAGGGUUAUAUGUUCUAUAUUGGAGUACUUUGCAUUCAAAUUAUUUCCUGUGUUAUAUUAUGAGUUUGAUGUUCUUAAAAUAUGUAUUCUCAAUAAUAGUACAAAAUACAUGUCUAUGCUCCCAUGGAUCCAGGAAGUAUAAGAUGAACUCGAUAAUCUCCAAUUGGUUUCAUUAUUGUUGUCCCGGUCCUCAUGAGCGGAUAAUCUUUAUACAACGAGUAGAUGGGGGUACAUGGUUUGGGUUGCUCUACAGAACUGAAAUAGUUUUCCGAUUACACACUUUAUCAGAACCGAGACACGGGUAGGCUCUGGGUUGUGCCAUCACAUUAGUGAAAAUAGAUGUACAAUGCCAAUUAGUAUUUUGUUUGUUGCUUCAUCAUCCCUCACAGACUUUCAGGUUUGGUAUUCCUGCUUCUAUGAUAUACUUAAUGAUUGAGGAAGGAUCUAUGCGAUCGAAACAGAUGCCUUGUUCUCAUCAUGAUACGCUGUGAGCCAACACAUUUUUUCUCUUGGCCGACUUGCUGCUUGCAUACAUGACAGAUAUGCAUCCAUGGUGAAGUUACUAUAUAAGUAUAGGGUCAAGCACUGCCCCGACAUACAUCCUAUUUUGUGUUUUUCCUCAAAGUCCCAUGGCCAUGUUGCUGGUAGAGUUGGAAGCACCGCCCUUGAUUUUGAAAUUGGAGAAGGAAGAUGGAUAACAGAGUUCAGUACAGUAAGGAUGCUCUACAAUAUAGGAAUCCAGACAAGGAUGAUGAGCAAUACACGACCCCAUGGCCGAGCCGACGACCAACCACCAGGGAAGUGGACAUGUGAAUAAGGGACGGAGUAGCAACGUUGAUUGGUUGCACGGAGCUACAGUCAACCUGAUGUGGUGUUUUAAUCUCCUUGACAUAGAGAGUAGUUGUGUGUGGUUUCCUUUCGAGUAGCAUAGUUGGAGUUUAGCAUGUGUGUGUAGAGCUGAUGGUUGUGAGGCUAAUUCCGAGAGUAGUACAUGACUGGAAGAUGCCCAGCUAGAUGUGAUACUUUGUGAUGGUUUAAUAUACUUUGUGAUCUCAUAUGCAACACUUUGUGAUACCCUAUGAUAUAUAUAUAUGGACAUUUGCUAUGGUUUGUUUUGUUUCUAUGGAACAUUGUU
This is a long non-coding RNA of Triticum dicoccoides, 1545 nucleotides long. RefSeq lists it as uncharacterized. Lineage: Eukaryota; Viridiplantae; Streptophyta; Magnoliopsida; Poales; Poaceae. The record is from RefSeq and is a predicted model, not a curated record. The transcript is spliced from 6 exons.